GACGAACGCUGGCGGCGUGCUUAACACAUGCAAGUCGAACGGAAAGGCCCUGCUUUUGUGGGGUGCUCGAGUGGCGAACGGGUGAGUAACAAGUGAGUAACCUGCCCUUGACUUUGGGAUAACUUCAGGAAACUGGGGCUAAUACCGGAUAGGAGCUCCUGCUGCAUGGUGGGGGUUGGAAAGUUUCGGCGGUGGGGAUGGACUCCCGGCUUAUCAGGCUGUUGGUGGGGUAGUGGCUUACCAAGGCUUUGACGGGUUGCCGGCCUGAGAGGGUGACCGGCCACAUUGGGACUGGGAUACGGCCCAGACUCCUACGGGAGGCAGCAGUGGGGAAUAUUGCACAAUGGGCGGAAGCCUGAUGCAGCGACGCCGCGUGCGGGAUGACGGCCUUCGGGUUGUAAACCGCUUUCGCCUGUGACGAAGCGUGAGUGACGGUAAUGGGUAAAGAAGCACCGGCUAACUACGUG
This 467-nucleotide ribosomal RNA is filed under the name uncultured bacterium. RNAcentral's name for it is "partial 16S ribosomal RNA". It matches the Rfam family "Bacterial small subunit ribosomal RNA", at positions 28 to 507 of the family's 1533-position model. The record is from RNAcentral.